AUAUAUAUAAACCAUACAAGAUCUAUCAAAAAAAUAAAUAUUCAAGAACCCAAAACAUACAAAUGGAUAUAAAACAAUUGGAUUUAAAGUUCAAAGUGUACUUGAUGAAAGCAACAUGACAAGGAUUCAUCCAUCACCCUUUGCUAAAGGAUUUAGCAAGACAUUACAAACAUCAACAUCCCUCCCUUUUCUCUCUCUCUAUUUUUUUUCUUAUUUUUAUUUUCGGAAACAGGGCAUCCCCUGUUUCCUUUUCACUUCUUCUUUCUUGUUUUCUUCCCCUGCAGCAGCCCGACGCCCCUGUUUUCUUUCCUUCGAUCCCCCCCAAAAUGAGCCACAUGAACCGAUCCCCCCUGUUCCUUUUUAUACAAUGAAAACCUCCCCAAAUUUUGAAUAAUCUUCCAAGCAAAUCAAAACGGACGCUGGAAUCUGGGACUCAGAUGCUGCGAAAAUCGCUGGGACUCGGAUGAUGCGCUGGUGGGGAGGAAGA
This 487-nucleotide long non-coding RNA is filed under the name Phoenix dactylifera (date palm). Its description in RNAcentral is "long non-coding RNA (PDAC_LNC015901)". The record is from RNAcentral. Lineage: Eukaryota; Viridiplantae; Streptophyta; Magnoliopsida; Arecales; Arecaceae.